Molecule: ribosomal RNA, 430 nt
Filed under: Acidobacteriota bacterium
Lineage: Bacteria; Pseudomonadati; Acidobacteriota
Description: Acidobacteria bacterium partial 16S ribosomal RNA
Rfam family: Bacterial small subunit ribosomal RNA
Source: RNAcentral
UGGGGAAUAUUGGACAAUGGGGGGAACCCUGAUCCAGCCAUGCCGCGUGUGUGAAGAAGGCCUUAUGGUUGUAAAGCACUUUAAGCGAGGAGGAGGCUCUCUUGGUUAAUACCUAAGAAGAGUGGACGUUACUCGCAGAAUAAGCACCGGCUAACUCUGUGCCAGCAGCCGCGGUAAUACAGAGGGUGCGAGCGUUAAUCGGAUUUACUGGGCGUAAAGCGUGCGUAGGCGGCUUUUUAAGUCGGAUGUGAAAUCCCCGAGCUUAACUUGGGAAUUGCAUUCGAUACUGGGAAGCUAGAGUAUGGGAGAGGAUGGUAGAAUUCCAGGUGUAGCGGUGAAAUGCGUAGAGAUCUGGAGGAAUACCGAUGGCGAAGGCAGCCAUCUGGCCUAAUACUGACGCUGAGGUACGAAAGCAUGGGGAGCAAACAGG